RNAcentral lists this long non-coding RNA (978 nucleotides) under Nicotiana benthamiana. RNAcentral's name for it is "long non-coding RNA (NBEN_LNC006947)". The record is from RNAcentral. Lineage: Eukaryota; Viridiplantae; Streptophyta; Magnoliopsida; Solanales; Solanaceae.
AAAUUUCACUUUAUACUCAUUAAUUUUAAACUAUUUAUUCUUUAAUUUUCGAACCCAAAUUAUUUACUACUGCUAUCCAUAUAACCCAAAUUAUUUACCCAACAUUUCUAACUUCUAAGUUCCAACUGUAUACGUCUUUUUGUACUACUACAAGUAUAUUACUUUUCAUAAAUAUUCAUUAAUACAAGAAGAAUAAGCCCGAUCGCUUGGAUAUAAAGAUAAGAGUCUCAUCUUCGUCAACGAACUGGCUGUUAAAAUUAACGAAGGAACCAUCGGUAUUCUCUAUGGGAUAUUGGGUACUAUGGAGUGGAGAAUCAAGGAAAGAAAAUGGGGAUUUGAGGGAGAAGAUAUCGAAGUCGUAAUUGGUUCUGCCAACGGUGGAGAAGGUAAUAGAAUCAUGUAGUGACUCUAAAGCCAUAAUUUUGUUGAUUUGCUCUACAGUUGGGAAAUAAUAUCCAUUGUUAAAGAGAAAUAUGAGCUGCAAUUGUAGUACUUGAGAAAGACGAGGUGGAAAGUGUUAGCGUUAGGCAUGGCGUUUCUUCUUUCAUUUUGUUUUGACUAAAUGGGAGAGAUAAGAGGUUUCCUUUUUACCUUGUGUUGUGGAUCAUCCCCAUGUAAAUUAUUAUGUGUAUUUGAAUAUAUAUAGCACUUGUUGGAUAUUGCUGAAAACACUCAACCGGUGUUAGUCUAUAUGAUAGUGAGGAUGUAAUAUCCUCUACCAAGGAUCCAAAAUUUCAUUGUAAAACCAAACAUAUAGAUAUCAAGAAUAAUGCGAAGAACAUGGUUUGACACAAGGUAGUGAAAGUGAAGCGUGUGUCUACAAAAGAUAUAUUAGCAUAUCUAUUGAUCAACCUUUAUCUAGAGAUGCAUUUGUAAGAUACACUAGGUCUCAAGGCUUGCAUAGACUCAGAAAUACUUUAUUUUGUUAUUUAUUUUUUCGUAUUCCCAAACUGAUGUUCUUUGAUUAUCAAUAAAGUU